Molecule: ribosomal RNA, 484 nt
Filed under: uncultured bacterium
Lineage: Bacteria
Description: partial 16S ribosomal RNA
Rfam family: Bacterial small subunit ribosomal RNA
Source: RNAcentral
AUUGAACGCUGGCGGCAUGCUUUACACAUGCAAGUCGAACGGCAGCGCGGGCUUCGGACUGGCGGCGAGUGGCGAACGGGUGAGUAAUGCAUCGGAACGUGCCCAGUAGUGGGGGAUAGCCCGGCGAAAGCCGGAUUAAUACCGCAUACGACCUGAGGGUGAAAGCGGGGGACCGAAAGGCCUCGCGCUAUUGGAGCGGCCGAUGUCGGAUUAGCUAGUUGGUGGGGUAAAGGCUUACCAAGGCGACGAUCCGUAGCUGGUCUGAGAGGACGACCAGCCACACUGGGACUGAGACACGGCCCAGACUCCUACGGGAGGCAGCAGUGGGGAAUUUUGGACAAUGGGGGCAACCCUGAUCCAGCCAUGCCGCGUGCGGGAAGAAGGCCUUCGGGUUGUAAACCGCUUUUGUUCGGGAAGAAAUCCUCUGGGCUAAUACCCCGGGGGGAUGACGGUACCGGAAGAAUAAGCACCGGCUAACUACGUG